This is a long non-coding RNA of Rattus norvegicus (Norway rat), 1139 nucleotides long. RefSeq lists it as uncharacterized. The record is from RefSeq and is a predicted model, not a curated record. NCBI's taxonomy places the organism in Eukaryota, Metazoa, Chordata, Mammalia, Rodentia, Muridae.
CCUUCAUCUUGAAGCGAAGCUCAGUAAGACAUCGGAUGUGAAAAGGAACGUGAAACAAAGAAUAUAUAUUUUGGGGAGGGGCAGUUUUCAAGACAGGGUUUCCCUGGGUUACCCUGGCUGACCUGGAACUGCCUCUGUAGCCCAGGCUGGCUUCAAACUGAGAGAUCUGCCUGCCUCUGCUUCCCGAGUGCUGGGAUCAAAGGUGUGUGCCACUAUGUCUAGCUAAACAUUUUAAGACAAUAUGUUUAUAGAGAGGUGGGUUAGGAGGCACUAAAGCAGAGGUUCCCAAGCUGUGUGUCGUGACUUCCUUGGGGAUCGUCAAAUGACCCUUUCACUGGUUAUAUAAGUCCAUUGGAACACACAGAUAUUUACAUUACAAUUCAUAACAGUAGCAAAAUUACAGUUAUGAAGUAUCAGCAAAAAUAAGUUUAUGAUUGGGUGGGGGGGUCACUACAACAUGAGGAAUUAUAUCAAAGUGUUUUGGCAUUAGGAAAGUUGAGAACCACUGCAAAAGAAGGUGAACCAUUUUAACCUUCAGGGAAGCUCGUUAAGCUCAGGAAGUAGACAAUUCAAAAUAUCUUCAGGAAGUUCCUGAAACUGACCAGAUUCACUCGGCUCUCCCUUCCCCAGGCAUACAUAAACUAUAAGAACUGCUAAGAGACUCCCAGAUGAGACAAGCUAUUAAGAAGACUCUACACCAAGCUGAGCCAUCUGGAAGAACCAGAGAUGAACUGAUCUGCCUGCGAGAGGCUCAGACCAUCCUACUGAACUACCUGGAAAGGACACUGUCUGGUCUCAUGCAGGCUAUGUGCUGUGCUCCAGGUUUUCAGCUUCCAUGAGCUAUCACUCAUGCUGGUGCAACACUUCCUUGAUGCUGCUGUGUUUGCAUCACAGCUGCUCUGCGAGAUGUGGUUUGUAUCAACACUUCCCAGGAGAUCUGCCCCACCACUCUGCCCCAGGAGCUUAAGCUGGGGUAUGGUUUUAAUUUACUCAGUGUAUUUCCAGGACAGAAGACUCACAGAAACACGGUGCCAAACAGAAAGUUCCAUGGCUGUACAAAUGCUUAUGUGUUGCUGCGUUUCUCUCUUCCCUCCUUUCAGCCAUUCUUCCUUCCCAAAAUAAAGCCUAGACACAUUUUC